This 439-nucleotide ribosomal RNA is filed under the name uncultured bacterium. Its description in RNAcentral is "bacterial SSU rRNA". It matches the Rfam family "Bacterial small subunit ribosomal RNA", at positions 958 to 1398 of the family's 1533-position model. The record is from RNAcentral.
AACGCGAAGAACCUUACCUGGGCUCGAAAUGUAGUGGAAUCCGGCAGAAACGUCGGCGUCUAGCAAUAGACCGCUAUAUAGGUGCUGCAUGGCUGUCGUCAGCUCGUGUCGUGAGAUGUUGGGUUAAGUCCCGCAACGAGCGCAACCCUUACCCCCAGUUGCCAUCAUUUAGUUGGGCACUCUGGUGGAACCGCCUCGGAUAACGGGGAGGAAGGUGGGGAUGACGUCAAGUCCUCAUGGCCUUUAUGUCCAGGGCUACACACGUGCUACAAUGGCCGGUACAAACCGUCGCAAACCCGUGAGGGGGAGCUAAUCGGAAAAAGCCGGCCUCAGUUCGGAUCGCAGUCUGCAACUCGACUGCGUGAAGCUGGAAUCGCUAGUAAUCGCGGAUCAGAACGCCGCGGUGAAUACGUUCCCGGGCCUUGUACACACCGGAGUA